AACAAGGUGAUGGAUUUCUAUAAUCUGAAUAUGGGUGUUGAACUCCAUGCCAUUGGUCUUCAAAGUUCUCUGAUUUCU
Tripterygium wilfordii is the source of this 78-nucleotide small nucleolar RNA. RefSeq annotates it as small nucleolar RNA R160. The transcript has a single exon. The record is from RefSeq and is a predicted model, not a curated record. NCBI's taxonomy places the organism in Eukaryota, Viridiplantae, Streptophyta, Magnoliopsida, Celastrales, Celastraceae.